UUGGAGGGCAAGUCUGGUGCCAGCAGCCGCGGUAAUUCCAGCUCCAAUAGCGUAUAUUAAAGUUGUUGCAGUUAAAAAGCUCGUAGUUGAAUUUCGGGAUCAAUUUGCUGGUCGUGCCUCUGGUACGUACUGGUAUUAUUGGUUUCUCCCUUCUGACGAACCAUGAUGUCAUUAAUUUGAUGUCGUGGAGAAUCAGGACUGUUACUUUGAAAAAAUUAGAGUGUUUAAAGCAGGCAUUAGCUUGAAUACAUUAGCAUGGAAUAAUGAAAUAGGACGUUUGAUCCUAUUUUGUUGGUUUCUAGGAUUGACGUAAUGAUUAAUAGGGAUAGUUGGGGGCAUUAGUAUUCAAUUGUCAGAGGUGAAAUUCUUGGAUUUAUUGAAGACUAACUACUGCGAAAGCAUUUGCCAAGGAUGUUUUCAUUAAUCAAGAACGAAAGUUAGGGGAUCGAAGACGAUCAGAUACCGUCGUAGUCUUAACAUAAACUAUGCCGACUAGGGAUCGGAUGAUGUUAAUUUUUUAAUGACUCAUUCGGCGCCUUACGGGAAACCAAAGUGUUUGGGUUC
Molecule: ribosomal RNA, 564 nt
Filed under: uncultured Glomeromycotina
Lineage: Eukaryota; Fungi; Glomeromycota
Description: SSU rRNA
Rfam family: Eukaryotic small subunit ribosomal RNA
Source: RNAcentral